CAUUGGAGAGCUAAUGAGGUGAAAUAGAGUGAGAAGAAGUCCAGGAACAAGAAGUUCAGUCAUGUUAUAAAAUGAGACCUUCUCAGCUCAUUGAAAAAGGAGCCUAUUUAUAUCUCAGUCAUGCCACCAGAAGCCUCCUCAUCCAGCAAUCAGCCUGGGUACUCCUCACAUGUACAGUCUGCCCCCCUGGGAAGGCAGAGGGAGGAACACUGCCCAAAACUUUCAUUUAAGGAGGAUACUCAGAGUUACAUUCACUCCCAUUCCAAGCCAGGCAAGCCAAGAACAUCAAUCACCUUCAAGACACAUUCCACUGCAGACAGAAACCAGGCAGCAUUUCCAGGAGUUUGUAAUACAGUUGAAGGGGCAAGAAAGUGAAGAGGAAACUGGUAAACAUAACACAAUUGGAUUUCAGAAUUGAAGUAAUCUAUAUUCAGUUGUGAGAUUGUAUGAUAAAGACUUUAAGUUCUACAAUAAUUCAAAAUAGGGGGAAAUGACUGUAAGGUACAUAUUAUAGAAUCACAUUAUCUUAUCUAACUAGUAUCUGAGCAGGAACAACUAUAACAAGCUGUUCCACAUAACGACCUUCAGUGAUGGGGAAUGUACUGCUUUACAAUACAUCACAUACAUUUGAGUAGUUACUAAAGUUGGCAAAUUUUUUGUUAUACUGAAUCAAAAUCUGUCACAUCCAUUACUCUUAGUUCUUGCCCUCUCUAGGGACAAACUAAAGAAGUCUUAUCCCUUUUCCAAAUUAUUCAAUAUUCAAAUGGAUCUGUGACUUCAUCAAUUCAGAAAUUCCUUCCAGCAACACAGAUUGCCACCUAUCCAUACAUACCUGUCCCUCCUUUGUGUCUCUUCUUCCAUGUGCUGGAGGCUUUCCUUGCUUUCUCUCAAAAUGAAGAAGCCAUCAAUAGAAAACUAGUUAUCUUAUCUUUUGCUUCUGCCAUAUUACAAGCCCAUAUUCUCUUUCUGUCAUACAAUUCCUUAUAAAAUAUUACACUCGUGUUCUUUGAAACACUUUGUUGAUUCUGUUAUACUCUGCUCACAUCUAUCACAUUCAAAUGAUAGUCUUUCAAAUACUCAAAGACAACCGUCCCUAUUGUCUUUUAUUUCCUGGUCUUACCUCUCUAGU
Monodelphis domestica (gray short-tailed opossum) is the source of this 1129-nucleotide long non-coding RNA. RefSeq lists it as uncharacterized. The record is from RefSeq and is a predicted model, not a curated record. Lineage: Eukaryota; Metazoa; Chordata; Mammalia; Didelphimorphia; Didelphidae.